Molecule: ribosomal RNA, 2904 nt
Filed under: Escherichia coli
Lineage: Bacteria; Pseudomonadati; Pseudomonadota; Gammaproteobacteria; Enterobacterales; Enterobacteriaceae
Description: 23S ribosomal RNA
Rfam family: Bacterial large subunit ribosomal RNA
Source: RNAcentral
GGUUAAGCGACUAAGCGUACACGGUGGAUGCCCUGGCAGUCAGAGGCGAUGAAGGACGUGCUAAUCUGCGAUAAGCGUCGGUAAGGUGAUAUGAACCGUUAUAACCGGCGAUUUCCGAAUGGGGAAACCCAGUGUGUUUCGACACACUAUCAUUAACUGAAUCCAUAGGUUAAUGAGGCGAACCGGGGGAACUGAAACAUCUAAGUACCCCGAGGAAAAGAAAUCAACCGAGAUUCCCCCAGUAGCGGCGAGCGAACGGGGAGCAGCCCAGAGCCUGAAUCAGUGUGUGUGUUAGUGGAAGCGUCUGGAAAGGCGCGCGAUACAGGGUGACAGCCCCGUACACAAAAAUGCACAUGCUGUGAGCUCGAUGAGUAGGGCGGGACACGUGGUAUCCUGUCUGAAUAUGGGGGGACCAUCCUCCAAGGCUAAAUACUCCUGACUGACCGAUAGUGAACCAGUACCGUGAGGGAAAGGCGAAAAGAACCCCGGCGAGGGGAGUGAAAAAGAACCUGAAACCGUGUACGUACAAGCAGUGGGAGCACGCUUAGGCGUGUGACUGCGUACCUUUUGUAUAAUGGGUCAGCGACUUAUAUUCUGUAGCAAGGUUAACCGAAUAGGGGAGCCGAAGGGAAACCGAGUCUUAACUGGGCGUUAAGUUGCAGGGUAUAGACCCGAAACCCGGUGAUCUAGCCAUGGGCAGGUUGAAGGUUGGGUAACACUAACUGGAGGACCGAACCGACUAAUGUUGAAAAAUUAGCGGAUGACUUGUGGCUGGGGGUGAAAGGCCAAUCAAACCGGGAGAUAGCUGGUUCUCCCCGAAAGCUAUUUAGGUAGCGCCUCGUGAAUUCAUCUCCGGGGGUAGAGCACUGUUUCGGCAAGGGGGUCAUCCCGACUUACCAACCCGAUGCAAACUGCGAAUACCGGAGAAUGUUAUCACGGGAGACACACGGCGGGUGCUAACGUCCGUCGUGAAGAGGGAAACAACCCAGACCGCCAGCUAAGGUCCCAAAGUCAUGGUUAAGUGGGAAACGAUGUGGGAAGGCCCAGACAGCCAGGAUGUUGGCUUAGAAGCAGCCAUCAUUUAAAGAAAGCGUAAUAGCUCACUGGUCGAGUCGGCCUGCGCGGAAGAUGUAACGGGGCUAAACCAUGCACCGAAGCUGCGGCAGCGACGCUUAUGCGUUGUUGGGUAGGGGAGCGUUCUGUAAGCCUGCGAAGGUGUGCUGUGAGGCAUGCUGGAGGUAUCAGAAGUGCGAAUGCUGACAUAAGUAACGAUAAAGCGGGUGAAAAGCCCGCUCGCCGGAAGACCAAGGGUUCCUGUCCAACGUUAAUCGGGGCAGGGUGAGUCGACCCCUAAGGCGAGGCCGAAAGGCGUAGUCGAUGGGAAACAGGUUAAUAUUCCUGUACUUGGUGUUACUGCGAAGGGGGGACGGAGAAGGCUAUGUUGGCCGGGCGACGGUUGUCCCGGUUUAAGCGUGUAGGCUGGUUUUCCGUGGCAAAUCCGGAAAAUCAAGGCUGAGGCGUGAUGACGAGGCACUACGGUGCUGAAGCAACAAAUGCCCUGCUUCCGGGAAAGCCUCUAAGCAUCAGGUAACAUCAAAUCGUACCCCAAACCGACACAGGUGGUCAGGUAGAGAAUACCAAGGCGCUUGAGAGAACUCGGGUGAAGGAACUAGGCAAAAUGGUGCCGUAACUUCGGGAGAAGGCACGCUGAUAUGUAGGUGAAGCGACUUGCUCGUGGAGCUGAAAUCAGUCGAAGAUACCAGCUGGCUGCAACUGUUUAUUAAAAACACAGCACUGUGCAAACACGAAAGUGGACGUAUACGGUGUGACGCCUGCCCGGUGCCGGAAGGUUAAUUGAUGGGGUUAGCGCAAGCGAAGCUCUUGAUCGAAGCCCCGGUAAACGGCGGCCGUAACUAUAACGGUCCUAAGGUAGCGAAAUUCCUUGUCGGGUAAGUUCCGACCUGCACGAAUGGCGUAAUGAUGGCCAGGCUGUCUCCACCCGAGACUCAGUGAAAUUGAACUCGCUGUGAAGAUGCAGUGUACCCGCGGCAAGACGGAAAGACCCCGUGAACCUUUACUAUAGCUUGACACUGAACAUUGAGCCUUGAUGUGUAGGAUAGGUGGGAGGCUUAGAAGUGUGGACGCCAGUCUGCAUGGAGCCGACCUUGAAAUACCACCCUUUAAUGUUUGAUGUUCUAACGUUGACCCGUAAUCCGGGUUGCGGACAGUGUCUGGUGGGUAGUUUGACUGGGGCGGUCUCCUCCUAAAGAGUAACGGAGGAGCACGAAGGUUGGCUAAUCCUGGUCGGACAUCAGGAGGUUAGUGCAAUGGCAUAAGCCAGCUUGACUGCGAGCGUGACGGCGCGAGCAGGUGCGAAAGCAGGUCAUAGUGAUCCGGUGGUUCUGAAUGGAAGGGCCAUCGCUCAACGGAUAAAAGGUACUCCGGGGAUAACAGGCUGAUACCGCCCAAGAGUUCAUAUCGACGGCGGUGUUUGGCACCUCGAUGUCGGCUCAUCACAUCCUGGGGCUGAAGUAGGUCCCAAGGGUAUGGCUGUUCGCCAUUUAAAGUGGUACGCGAGCUGGGUUUAGAACGUCGUGAGACAGUUCGGUCCCUAUCUGCCGUGGGCGCUGGAGAACUGAGGGGGGCUGCUCCUAGUACGAGAGGACCGGAGUGGACGCAUCACUGGUGUUCGGGUUGUCAUGCCAAUGGCACUGCCCGGUAGCUAAAUGCGGAAGAGAUAAGUGCUGAAAGCAUCUAAGCACGAAACUUGCCCCGAGAUGAGUUCUCCCUGACCCUUUAAGGGUCCUGAAGGAACGUUGAAGACGACGACGUUGAUAGGCCGGGUGUGUAAGCGCAGCGAUGCGUUGAGCUAACCGGUACUAAUGAACCGUGAGGCUUAACCUU